UCUGUAGGAUUUCCUCUGUGAAAACUUUAUAAUUUCUAAGUUCACUAUUUCUCUCGGUCACUCACUCUGUGUUUAAAAACAGUUUCACUUAGGCAUUGCUCAAUCAGUGCUAUUCUUACAUUCUUUUAUUUUUGGAGCUGGAACUUUGGACCUGUAAGAUGGCUCUGAGUAGUGGCCCUCGCUAAGAAGCAGUGAGCUCCAAGGCCCUUGGAAAUGGAGAGAGAUUGGGGUGACUCCUCUUCUGUUUGCUCUCCUUGCCAGACCUUUCAAUGAGCAAGCUGUCCUAUGCCCAAAAAGCAGGCUUUGGUCAGGUGUUCAGGGCUGAGCACCAGCACCAUAGCCAGACCAGAUAUCACCUGAAGACAUUUUCUUGGAUUUUUCAGGGUGCAGACUCCGCUGUGACCGCUGGCCUGAGCUGCUCCAGAGCUCAGUGACUGGCUGGGUGCAGCAGCAGGCUGAGGAAACAUGGCAAAGCUGGGAAGAGAGAAACCAGGUUCUUAAAGGGUUUCAUGCUGUUGGAGCAGAUGGAAACCGCCACAGCCACCACUUCUGCUCUGUGGGACGGAGCACGUCGCUCUGCGCAGGGUCAACAGUGACUAUCUCCUGUCACCACAACUUACACGUGACCAGGAGGGCGGAUGCUGCAGCCCAGCAGGUGCAGGAGAUUCCACGAUGUGUUAUCUCUGGCCACGGACUGUCCUGUUUCCAGGAACACUCUUCUGAUGGAGGAGAUAAGAGCCUGCCAGUAACUUCUCUUUGUGCAAAGGAGUUGGCAAGAAUGUCUUCAUCAAAAUGGCUUUGUAGUCGCAUUAGUUUCUAAGAAGUGCAGGAGGAAAUAUAGAUACAGCUGCAUGUUAUAUCCUAUAAUUUUUUUACAUAUUCUUUUUAGGUAAUUGUGUCAUAUUUGCUGUGUAGAUGGUAAAUUAAAUGUACUAUGAA
Lepidothrix coronata (blue-crowned manakin) is the source of this 939-nucleotide long non-coding RNA. RefSeq lists it as uncharacterized. The transcript has 3 exons. Lineage: Eukaryota; Metazoa; Chordata; Aves; Passeriformes; Pipridae. The record is from RefSeq and is a predicted model, not a curated record.